GGUGUAGAUGAGGCUGGGUGUAGUCAGGCUAUAGAUGGGGGUGUAGAUGAGGCUGUUUGUAGUCAGGCUAUAGAUGGUGGUGUAGAUGAGGCUGGGUGUAGUCAUGUUAUAGAUGGUGGUGUAGAUGAGGCUGGGUGUAGUCAUGUUAUAGAUGGUGGUGUAGAUGAGGCUGGGUGUAGUCAAGUUAUAGAUGGUGGUGUAGAUGAGGCUGGGUGUAGUCAUGUUAUAGAUGGUGGUGUAGAUGAGGCUGGGUGUAGUCAGGCUAUAGAUGGUGGUGUAGGUGAGGCUGGGUGUAGUCAUGUUAUAGAUGGUGGUGUAGAUGAGGCUGGGUGUAGUCAUGUUAUAGAUGGUGGUGUAGAUGAGGCUGGGUCUAGUCAUGUUAUAGAUGAUGGUGUAGGUGAGGUUGUGUCUAGUCAGGCUAUAGAUGGGGGUGUAGAUGAGGCUGGGUGUAGUCAUGUUAUAGAUGGUGGUGUAGAUGAGGCUGGGUGUAGUCAUGUUAUAGAUGGUGGUGUAGAUGAGGCUGGGUGUAGUCAUGUUAUAGAUGGUGGUGUAGAUGAGGCUGGGUGUAGUCAUGUUAUAGAUGGUGGUGUAGAUGAGGCUGUGUCUAGUCAGGUUAUAGAUGGUGGUGUAGAUGAGGCUGUGUCUAGUCAGGUUAUAGAUGGUGGUGUAGAUGAGGCUGGGUGUAGUCAUGUUAUAGAUGGUGGUGUAGAUGAGGCUGGGUCUAGUCAUGUUACUUCCGGUGCCGACAGAGAUGGCCGCCUCGC
Molecule: long non-coding RNA, 764 nt
Organism: Oncorhynchus tshawytscha (Chinook salmon)
Lineage: Eukaryota; Metazoa; Chordata; Actinopteri; Salmoniformes; Salmonidae
Source: Ensembl